Molecule: ribosomal RNA, 800 nt
Filed under: Enterococcus faecium
Lineage: Bacteria; Bacillati; Bacillota; Bacilli; Lactobacillales; Enterococcaceae
Description: bacterial SSU rRNA
Rfam family: Bacterial small subunit ribosomal RNA
Source: RNAcentral
GCAGUCGACGCUUCUUUUUCCACCGGAGCUUGCUCCACCGGAAAAAGAGGAGUGGCGAACGGGUGAGUAACACGUGGGUGACCUGCCCAUCAGAAGGGGAUAACACUUGGAAACAGGUGCUAAUACCGUAUAACAAUCAAAACCGCAUGGUUUUGAUUUGAAAGGCGCUUUCGGGUGUCGCUGAUGGAUGGACCCGCGGUGCAUUAGCUAGUUGGUGAGGUAACGGCUCACCAAGGCCACGAUGCAUAGCCGACCUGAGAGGGUGAUCGGCCACAUUGGGACUGAGACACGGCCCAAACUCCUACGGGAGGCAGCAGUAGGGAAUCUUCGGCAAUGGACGAAAGUCUGACCGAGCAACGCCGCGUGAGUGAAGAAGGUUUUCGGAUCGUAAAACUCUGUUGUUAGAGAAGAACAAGGAUGAGAGUAACUGUUCAUCCCUUGACGGUAUCUAACCAGAAAGCCACGGCUAACUACGUGCCAGCAGCCGCGGUAAUACGUAGGUGGCAAGCGUUGUCCGGAUUUAUUGGGCGUAAAGCGAGCGCAGGCGGUUUCUUAAGUCUGAUGUGAAAGCCCCCGGCUCAACCGGGGAGGGUCAUUGGAAACUGGGAGACUUGAGUGCAGAAGAGGAGAGUGGAAUUCCAUGUGUAGCGGUGAAAUGCGUAGAUAUAUGGAGGAACACCAGUGGCGAAGGCGGCUCUCUGGUCUGUAACUGACGCUGAGGCUCGAAAGCGUGGGGAGCAAACAGGAUUAGAUACCCUGGUAGUCCACGCCGUAAACGAUGAGUGCUAAGUGUUGGAGGG